AGUGUGUGUGGGGGAGGGGAGCAGGUUAUAUAACUAGCUUCUCUGUCUCAGAAGGGAGAGAGGAUGUGGAAAGAGCAGAUGCGCUUGAUCUUUCCACUGAAAUGACAUGAUGGGAGCUAGAAGAAGCGCUGAAGCCUCAUGAAGGAGCUGAAGUCAGUGGGAGUUCUGUCCUGAGGAACGACUGCAAGAUUGGACUCUCUGAAAAUAUUGCUAGAGACAGGAAAACAUGGUUUCCUGUGACAAGGCAUUGCGGAAGGAGGUGGUGGACACUCUCGUAUGAAAAUGCAGAAUGAGGAAAGGCUAAGGAGGAAAAGCUUCAGGGAAAACCUCGUGGGUGCAGGAAGGGUCAGGACUGAGAAGAGAUUGAGCCUUCCAACACCCCACGGCGGCCGGCUUCUGUUCUGUAUAUGCUUGUAUCUCCACUCUAUGCAUACUUCCUAAUGUUGUAUGAACUGUGACUCACUUUAUACAGAUGGCCUACGGUCUUUAGGUAGAAAUCAGUUUGACUAUGGGUGAAAUGAACACCUUUUAGUUUUUACCAAACUGUCCAUCUCUCUAUUCCAUUUGUGGGGGUAAUCUUGGGAUACACUGAUACCCAGUCACCUGGUACGUGCAAAUCAGGUAGCUAAGCAUGUGUGUAAAUUAAGUGUGUGUAACUGCCGCACUUAACUGUAGAAGAACUGGUUCUUUUUAUGAAUUUUUCUCAAAUAAAAGGUCUCUCUUUUUUUAAAGAACAUUAAAUAUACAUUUCAAGUGUUUAUUACUUAGGCUGCAUGAAAAAAAUCCAUGUAGCUUGCAUGUUCCUAUGCCACUCAUUUGUGCAUGAUUCCCUCCCCCUUGUCUGUGAAUGUCCAUUGUAAAGCAUAACUGUGUAGGCUCAGCCCAAAAAGGAGCAAUUUGAUCUUUAGAAUUGUGGUUGCAGUAGCUUAAUCAUAAACACCAGUUACUGUAACAAUUGCUGAAGCCUUCCCCAGUUAUUUGCUCAGGCACUAUGUAUGUAACACACAGACACGUUCUGUUUAUUCCCCAAUUCUCUGUCAGACAAAGCACAAAUUUUAUGCAACUGUGAAAUUAAACACAUUAGGUCAAUAGUUUUAAAUGAAAUGGGGAGAAACAAAGAGCGAAACAAAAUGAGGACAGACAUGAAAAUAUGUAUAAAAUGGCCAAGGAGCUGUAACUUCACGAAACUGAUUUUAACAAGACAAUAGAUCCUGGCAGUGAUUUUUAAAUAGGGGAAAAUGAAAGUAGUUUUUCCAGUUUUCCCUGCUCUUAGUACAGUACUCCAAUAAUCCCGAGUGUGCUAACCCUCCAAAUGCAAGCAGGCCCACCUAAUAACAAGGUGUGGUAGGCUUGUAUAAUCCCAAGGCCUAAACAGACUGCACCAGACAGUCUCUUCAAGCUGUCACAUUUGUACAAUAUACCCAAGGGCAUAUCCCAAGGAAGUGGAGGCUGAUUGGGUAUCCCAUGCAUCCACAAUGUUGUGCAAGUCCCUUGGUAGUUCCCAGGGAAGGGGAAGGCUAUUGCCAUCAUGCCAGAAAUUGACAGGCAUGUCAGAAGCCAUUGCCCCUGGUAAGUGGUGGCUUUGGCAGUCUGUUUUUCUGUUGUUGGUUGUCCUGUGUUUCAUUCUCUCUUUGUUCCUACUCUGCCUCUAGUUUUU
Molecule: long non-coding RNA, 1657 nt
Organism: Chelonia mydas (Green sea turtle)
Lineage: Eukaryota; Metazoa; Chordata; Testudines; Cheloniidae
Exons: 3
Source: RefSeq, a predicted model, not a curated record